This 24-nucleotide non-coding RNA is filed under the name Arabidopsis thaliana (thale cress). The record is from RNAcentral. Lineage: Eukaryota; Viridiplantae; Streptophyta; Magnoliopsida; Brassicales; Brassicaceae.
UAUGUCUGAGAGCUUUAAUGCAGA